This 494-nucleotide ribosomal RNA is filed under the name uncultured bacterium. Its description in RNAcentral is "partial 16S ribosomal RNA". It matches the Rfam family "Bacterial small subunit ribosomal RNA", at positions 28 to 523 of the family's 1533-position model. The record is from RNAcentral.
GAUGAACGCUAGCGGGAGGCCUAACACAUGCAAGCCGAGCGGUAGAAUCUUUUCGGAGAUUGAGAGCGGCGUACAGGUGAGGAACACGUGUGCAACCUGCCUUUAUCUGGGAGAUAGCCUUUCGAAAGGAAGAUUAAUAUCCCAUAAUAUAUUGAUUGGCAUCACUUAAUAUUGAAAGCUCCGGCGGAUAGAGAUGGGCACGCGCAAGAUUAGAUAGUUGGUGAGGUAACGGCUCACCAAGUCUACGAUCUGUAGGGGGCCUGAGAGGGUGAUCCCCCACACUGGUACUGAGACACGGACCAGACUCCUACGGGAGGCAGCAGUGAGGAAUAUUGGACAAUGGGUGCAAGCCUGAUCCAGCCAUCCCGCGUGAAGGAUUAAGGUCCUAUGGAUUGUAAACUUCUUUUAUACAGGGAUAAACCUCUCCUCGUGAGGAGAGCUGAAGGUACUGUAUGAAUAAGCACCGGCUAACUCCGUGCCAGCCGCCGCCGUAA